RNAcentral lists this ribosomal RNA (521 nucleotides) under uncultured delta proteobacterium. Its description in RNAcentral is "bacterial SSU rRNA". It matches the Rfam family "Bacterial small subunit ribosomal RNA", at positions 29 to 523 of the family's 1533-position model. The record is from RNAcentral. Lineage: Bacteria; Deltaproteobacteria.
AACGAACGCUGGCGGCGUGCCUAACACAUGCAAGUCGCGCGGGAAAGCAGGGGCAACUCUGCAAGUACAGCGGCGCACGGGUGAGUAACACGUAGGUAACCUACCUCCACGCCUGGGAUAACCUGUCGAAAGACGGGCUAAUACCGGAUACGACCACAGAAGUUGAGGCUUCGGUGGUGAAAGGUGGCCUCUGCUUGCAAGCUACCACAUGGGGAUGGGGCCUGCGCGCCAUUAGCUUGUUGGUGAGGUAACGGCCCACCAAGGCAAAGAUGGCUAGCUGGUCUGAGAGGAUGGCCAGCCACACUGGGACUGAGACACGGCCCAGACUCCUACGGGAGGCAGCAGUGGGAAUAUUGCGCAAUGGGCGAAAGCCUGACGCAGCGACGCCGCGUGGGUGAUGAAGGCCUUCGGGUCGUAAAGCCCUGUCGGGAGGGACGAAUCCUCGGUGACCUAACACGUCACCGACCUGACGGUACCUCCGAAGGAAGCACCGGCUAACUCCGUGCCAGCAGCCGCGGUAA